GAUGAAGAACGUAGUGAAAUGCGAUAAGUAAUGUGAAUUGCAGAAUUCAGUGAAUCAUCGAAUCUUUGAACGCACAUUGCGCCCCUUGGUAUUCCGAGGGGCAUGCCUGUUCGAGCGUCAUUAUAACCCCUCAAGCUCAGCUUGGUGUUGGGGCCUGCCGCACGGGCAGCCCUUAAAAUCAGUGGCGGUGCCAUCUGGCUCUAAGCGUAGUAAUUCUUCUCGCUAUAGAGUCCCGGUGGAUGCUUGCCAUUAACCCCCAAUUUUCUAUGGUUGACCUCGGAUCAGGUAGGGAUACCCGCUGAACUUAAGCAUAGCAAUAAGCGGAGGA
Molecule: unclassified non-coding RNA, 328 nt
Filed under: soil metagenome
Description: partial contains 5.8S ribosomal RNA, internal transcribed spacer 2, and large subunit ribosomal RNA
Rfam family: 5.8S ribosomal RNA (bases 1-120)
Source: RNAcentral